AACGAACGCUGGCGGCAUGCCUAACACAUGCAAGUCGAACGAGACCUUCGGGUCUAGUGGCGCACGGGUGCGUAACGCGUGGGAACCUGCCCUUAGGUUCGGAAUAACUCCCCGAAAGGGGUGCUAAUACCGGAUAAUGUCUUCGGCCCAAAGAUUUAUCGCCUUUGGAUGGGCCCGCGUUGGAUUAGCUAGUUGGUAGGGUAAAAGCCUACCAAGGCGACGAUCCAUAGCUGGUCUGAGAGGAUGAUCAGCCACACUGGGACUGAGACACGGCCCAGACUCCUACGGGAGGCAGCAGUGGGGAAUAUUGGACAAUGGGCGAAAGCCUGAUCCAGCAAUGCCGCGUGAGUGAUGAAGGCCUUAGGGUUGUAAAGCUCUUUUACCCGGGAUGAUAAUGACAGUACCGGGAGAAUAAGCGCCGGCUAACUCCGUG
This 433-nucleotide ribosomal RNA is filed under the name uncultured bacterium. RNAcentral's name for it is "partial 16S ribosomal RNA". It matches the Rfam family "Bacterial small subunit ribosomal RNA", at positions 29 to 507 of the family's 1533-position model. The record is from RNAcentral.